AGGGGUAUAGUUCAAUGGUAGAACAGUGGUCUCCAAAACCAUCGAUGUGGGUUCAACUCCUACUACCCCUGCCA
RNAcentral lists this transfer RNA (74 nucleotides) under Erysipelotrichaceae bacterium. RNAcentral's name for it is "tRNA-Trp". It matches the Rfam family "tRNA". Rfam says of the family: Transfer RNA (tRNA) molecules are approximately 80 nucleotides in length. Lineage: Bacteria; Bacillati; Bacillota; Erysipelotrichia; Erysipelotrichales; Erysipelotrichaceae. The record is from RNAcentral. RNAcentral also lists the same sequence under 1 other name.